AAAGGUAAGCUACUAAGAGCGAAUGGUGGAUGCCUUGACUGGUAAAGGCGAUGAAGGACGUACUAGACUGCGAUAAGCUACGGGGAGCUGUCAAGAAGCUUUGAUCCGUAGAUUUCCGAAUGGGGCAACCCAAUGUAUAGAGAUAUACAUUACCUAUAUAGGAGCGAACGAGGGGAAUUGAAACAUCUUAGUACCCUCAGGAAAAGAAAUCAAUAGAGAUUGCGUCAGUAGCGGCGAGCGAAAGCGUAAGAGGGCAAACCCAGUGCUUGCACUGGGGGUUGUAGGACUGCAAUGUGCAAGAGGUGAGUUUAGCAGAACAUUCUGGAAAGUAUAGCCAUAGAGGGUGAUAGUCCCGUAUGCGAAAAACAAACCUUAGCUAGCAGUAUCCUGAGUAGGGCGGGACACGAGAAAUCCUGUCUGAAGCUGGGUCGACCACGAUCCAACCCUAAAUACUAAUACCAGAUCGAUAGUGCACAAGUACCG
This 483-nucleotide ribosomal RNA is filed under the name Campylobacter coli. RNAcentral describes it as "partial 23S ribosomal RNA". It matches the Rfam family "Bacterial large subunit ribosomal RNA", at positions 1 to 503 of the family's 2925-position model. The record is from RNAcentral. Lineage: Bacteria; Pseudomonadati; Campylobacterota; Epsilonproteobacteria; Campylobacterales; Campylobacteraceae.